This 250-nucleotide ribosomal RNA is filed under the name uncultured bacterium. Its description in RNAcentral is "partial 16S ribosomal RNA". It matches the Rfam family "Bacterial small subunit ribosomal RNA", at positions 524 to 773 of the family's 1533-position model. The record is from RNAcentral.
UACGUAGGUGGCAAGCGUUGUCCGGAUUUAUUGGGCGUAAAGCGCGCGCAGGUGGUUUCUUAAGUCUGAUGUGAAAGCCCACGGCUCAACCGUGGAGGGUCAUUGGAAACUGGGGAACUUGAGUGCAGAAGAGGAUAGUGGAAUUCCAAGUGUAGCGGUGAAAUGCGUAGAGAUUUGGAGGAACACCAGUGGCGAAGGCGACUGUCUGGUCUGUAACUGACACUGAGGCGCGAAAGCGUGGGGAGCAAAC